AACGAACGCUGGCGGCAGGCUUAACACAUGCAAGUCGAGCGCCCCGCAAGGGGAGCGGCAGACGGGUGAGUAACGCGUGGGAACGUACCUUUUGGUUCGGAACAACUCCGGGAAACUGGAGCUAAUACCGGAUAAGCCCUAACGGGGAAAGAUUUAUCGCCGAAAGAUCGGCCCGCGUCUGAUUAGCUAGUUGGUGAGGCAACGGCUCACCAAGGCGACGAUCAGUAGCUGGUCUGAGAGGAUGAUCAGCCACACUGGGACUGAGACACGGCCCAGACUCCUACGGGAGGCAGCAGUGGGGAAUAUUGGACAAUGGGCGCAAGCCUGAUCCAGCCAUGCCGCGUGAGUGAUGAAGGCCUUAGGGUUGUAAAGCUCUUUUGUCCGGGAAGAUAAUGACUGUACCGGAAGAAUAAGCCCCGGCUAACUUCGUG
RNAcentral lists this ribosomal RNA (431 nucleotides) under uncultured bacterium. RNAcentral's name for it is "partial 16S ribosomal RNA". It matches the Rfam family "Bacterial small subunit ribosomal RNA", at positions 29 to 507 of the family's 1533-position model. The record is from RNAcentral.